GGGGGUUUCAGGUGCUCCGUGGGUGUGAUAAAAGGUGAGAAAGCAGUAGAGUAAGAGAGAGGACAGCAUGGUGUGCCUUGUGUUCCUUCUCUGCCCUGGUUGAGAAACUUAAUUAUUAAUUGUUUGCUGCUCAAUUAAGGAUUUUGGUUUAUGGACUGCACUUCGUGUACCCCAACUCAUGCUAUGGGAUUGAUGAGGAUGUGCAAGCAUUGUAGAAGAGACUGAUGUGCCAGGUCAUGCAUUAUGUCUGGACUUUACCAUAAGUACAAGUAUUCUUUCCAUUGCUGUGAUUUUCUUAAUUUUGGUUAUGUUAAUUUCUAUUAACUUUGUUUGUUUUUGUUUGAUCAAUGUUCAAUGUUUGUACUCAUCAUCUAAAUGGAAUUCUGAAGAAUUGAGUCCUUGAUAAACAUCGAUUUUGCAUAUUUGUUGUUUACAUGCCCAAAAAAUAGGUUAAAUAAAACCUUUAUUGCUGUAGCUAA
Long non-coding RNA from Tachysurus fulvidraco (yellow catfish), 479 nucleotides. RefSeq lists it as uncharacterized. The record is from RefSeq and is a predicted model, not a curated record. The transcript is spliced from 2 exons. NCBI's taxonomy places the organism in Eukaryota, Metazoa, Chordata, Actinopteri, Siluriformes, Bagridae.